This 538-nucleotide ribosomal RNA is filed under the name uncultured bacterium. RNAcentral's name for it is "bacterial SSU rRNA". It matches the Rfam family "Bacterial small subunit ribosomal RNA", at positions 26 to 575 of the family's 1533-position model. The record is from RNAcentral.
AGGACGAACGCUGGCGGCGUGCUUGAUACAUGCAAGUCGAACGGGCCUCAUAUGAAAGCUUGCUGGAUUAUGAGGUUAGUGGCGGACGGGUGAGUAACGCGUGGGCAAUCUGCCCCCAGGUCCGGGACAACGGAGCGAAAGUUCCGCUAAAACCGGAUGACCUUGCGGAGUGGCAUCACUUUGCAAGCAAAGGUAACGCCUGGGGAUGAACCCGCGUCCCAUUAGCUAGUUGGUGAGGUAACGGCCCACCAAGGCGACGAUGGGUAGCCGGACUGAGAGGUUGGCCGGCCACACUGGGACUGAGACACGGCCCAGACUCCUACGGGAGGCAGCAGUAGGGAAUUUUCGUCAAUGGGGGAAACCCUGAACGAGCGACGCCGCGUGAGGGACGAAGGCCUUCGGGUUGUAAACCUCUGUCUUCGGGGACGAUAAUGACGGUACCCGAGGAGGAAGCCACGGCUAACUACGUGCCAGCAGCCGCGGUAAGACGUAGGUGGCGAGCGUUGUCCGGAAUUACUGGGCGUAAAGGGCGUGUAGG